This 72-nucleotide transfer RNA is filed under the name Cavia porcellus (domestic guinea pig). It matches the Rfam family "tRNA". Rfam says of the family: Transfer RNA (tRNA) molecules are approximately 80 nucleotides in length. The record is from Rfam by way of RNAcentral. Lineage: Eukaryota; Metazoa; Chordata; Mammalia; Rodentia; Caviidae.
GGAUAUGUGGCUCAGUGGUAGAGCUCGUGCCUUAUAUGUACAAGGUCCUAGAUUUAAUCCCCAGCACCACCA